RNAcentral lists this ribosomal RNA (366 nucleotides) under uncultured bacterium. Its description in RNAcentral is "bacterial SSU rRNA". It matches the Rfam family "Bacterial small subunit ribosomal RNA", at positions 29 to 422 of the family's 1533-position model. The record is from RNAcentral.
AACGAACGCUGGCGGCAUGCCUAACACAUGCAAGUCGAACGAGACCUUCGGGUCUAGUGGCGCACGGGUGCGUAACGCGUGGGAAUCUGCCCUUGGGUUCGGAAUAACAGUUAGAAAUGACUGCUAAUACCGGAUGAUGUCUUCGGACCAAAGAUUUACCGCCCAAGGAUGAGCCCGCGUAAGAUUAGCUAGUUGGUGAGGUAAUGGCUCACCAAGGCGACGAUCUUUAGCUGGUCUGAGAGGAUGAUCAGCCACACUGGGACUGAGACACGGCCCAGACUCCUACGGGAGGCAGCAGUGGGGAAUAUUGGACAAUGGGCGAAAGCCUGAUCCAGCAAUGCCGCGUGAGUGAUGAAGGCCUUAGGG